This 445-nucleotide ribosomal RNA is filed under the name uncultured bacterium. RNAcentral's name for it is "bacterial SSU rRNA". It matches the Rfam family "Bacterial small subunit ribosomal RNA", at positions 29 to 507 of the family's 1533-position model. The record is from RNAcentral.
AACGAACGCUGGCGGCAGGCCUAACACAUGCAAGUCGAGCGCUCUCUUCGGAGGGAGCGGCGGACGGGUUAGUAACGCGUGGGAAUGUACCCUUCUCUAAGGAAUAGCCAUUGGAAACGAUGAGUAAUACCUUAUACGCCCCCCGGGUCAAACUGGGGGGAAAGAGUUUAUCGGAGAGGGAUCAGCCCGCGUAAGAUUAGAUAGUUGGUAGGGUAAUGGCCUACCAAGGCGACGAUGCGUAGCCGACCUGAGAGGGUGAUCGGCCACACUGGGACUGAGACACGGCCCAGACUCCUACGGGAGGCAGCAGUAGGGAAUCUUAGACAAUGGGCGCAAGCCUGAUCUAGCCAUGCCGCGUGUGUGAUGAAGGUCUUAGGAUCGUAAAGCACUUUCGCCAGGGAUGAUAAUGACAGUACCUGGUAAAGAAACCCCGGCUAACUCCGUG